This 450-nucleotide long non-coding RNA is filed under the name Equus asinus (donkey). Its description in RNAcentral is "lncRNA (ENSEASG00005031819.1)". The record is from RNAcentral. Lineage: Eukaryota; Metazoa; Chordata; Mammalia; Perissodactyla; Equidae.
GGUCACCCAACAGAAGAGAAGUCCAUCAACAGUCAGAAAUGUCUGCCUUGUCAAGUUUGUCAAGAGUUGGAAGUGGACUUCAUGGGGAUCAGACUGAGCCUGUGGAGUGUACUCUGAAUUAUGCUCCAUUACUUAUGAACUGAAGCAGCGCAGCACUAUCUGCCCAGGUGUAUAUGACUCUUUUUAAUUCAGACAUGCUUAAGGAUGCAGUAAGAAACCUGGAAGCCAGAUUCAGGCUCAGCCUAGUUCCCUUAGGGAAAAUCACUCACCUCAGCAGCGGCCAGUUUCUAGGAAAGUCCUUCAGAGAAUCCAUUAAUAACAACUGCUUGCUGCUAACUACUUCCUGGGAAUGCAUACUUCAUAGAAGAGACAACAAAUGAGGAACCUUUUUGAAGAGCAUACUAAUCAAGCUCAAGAAGUGUCCUGCUGAUCGCUAGAAUUGGCUGAAUU